AGAUGAUGAAGACGAUGACGACGAUGGCGGUGGUGGUGGUGGAGUCAAGCAUCCUUUAGAACAGCAAGUGCUACUACAGAAUCAUCAUCAUCAUCAUCAUCAUUACCAUUA
Molecule: microRNA precursor, 111 nt
Filed under: Bigelowiella natans CCMP2755
Lineage: Eukaryota; Cercozoa; Chlorarachniophyceae
Description: miRNA EPrBNAG00000013490
Source: RNAcentral